RNAcentral lists this transfer RNA (69 nucleotides) under Felis catus (domestic cat). It matches the Rfam family "tRNA". Rfam says of the family: Transfer RNA (tRNA) molecules are approximately 80 nucleotides in length. The record is from Rfam by way of RNAcentral. Lineage: Eukaryota; Metazoa; Chordata; Mammalia; Carnivora; Felidae.
GCCUGGCUAACUCAGUAGGGCAUGCGACUCUUGAUCGCAGGGUUGUGAGUUGGAGCCCCACGUUGGGCA